This is a non-coding RNA of Epinephelus lanceolatus (giant grouper), 575 nucleotides long. NCBI's taxonomy places the organism in Eukaryota, Metazoa, Chordata, Actinopteri, Perciformes, Serranidae. The record is from RefSeq and is a predicted model, not a curated record.
AUGGUAAUUUUGGGCCGGGCCUUUUUUUUUUUUUUUUUUUUUUUUAGUCAUGUCAUGAUACCUAUUGGUACACAAAACUGGUAGAUCGGCCCAUUAGUCAUGAUUGAUUCUGGGCUGGACCAAUUACAGCCGAGGGCCGAUGCCCCCUCCCACUUGGGCCUCGGCUGCCAGUCAAUCAAUCAUACAGAGAGAGAGGAGAUUGACAAAAUUGAGAAGAAACUCAAAGGAGGUGCAGAAAAAAUAAGAGAGAAAAAGAGACAAGCCCUUUAGGAAGAUGCUGCCAAAUGUGUUAAAAUAACACAGAUGUUUGCUGGCUAUGGCGGAGCUUCUUCAGUGGCAGCAUCAGUGACCGCACCCGCACUGGCAUCCAAAGCAGCCGCAGCAGGUAAUGAGGUGAAGGGGAGGCAGGAGGAGGAGACCCGCGGCCGCCGCAUUAUAUGACGACGGCACAGGCGGUGCGACUGGAGGGGAAUUUGAACUUCAGGUUGCCAUGUUUGAGGAAGUAUUAUGUGUUGCUGUGCUGUUUAUUGAUGUGGAUCCCAUCAUACGUUCAUUGUUCAGGAGGUUCACUAGAC